GUCACUUAUACUAAAAAGACACUCAUGUACUCGUAUGUUCAUCACAGAACUAUUCAUAAUAGCAAAAACAUGGAAUCAAACUAGGUGCUCAUCAAUGGUGGAUUGAAUAAAGGAAAUGUGUGGUACGUAUACACCAUGAAAUAUGCAACCAUAAAACAGAACAAAAUAAUAUCCUUGGCUGCAACAUGGAUGCAGCUAGAAGCCAUUAUCCUAAGUGAAUUAACACAGAAACAGAAAAACAAAAAAUAAAAAAUAAAAUUUAAACUGGGUGUGUGUUAGGUUUUGUCAUGUGACUCAUGCAGCAUUGCAAAAGAUAAAAUAUAAGCAAAAAAAAGUGUAAUGUAAGUUUGAGACACAAUGAAUUAUCCCUUUUGGUUCUGGGAUAGGGAAUGAGAUGUAAGUAAGCAAUGUUCAGUUGGUAAUUUAUAGCAUCAGCUCUGGAGUGAGACUGUCUGGAUUCAAAUUUCAUUUUGACCUCUUAUUAGUUGCGUGAACUUGUGCAAACUCUCUUAAGCCUUAGGGUCCUCAUGUGCAAAACAAGGAUAAUUGUACAUAUCACUAGAUUUGUUGCAAAUAUUAAGUGACAUGAUGCAUACCAGUCUUCUAAGGGAAAGUGCAUAAUAAGUGUUAGCUGUUGUCAUUAUAUAGGGGGUAGAGAGAAUUAAGCUUGAAAUAGAAAACUCGAACCAUACUAAAGACUGGUAUGAAUACCAAUGGAAAGAUUUUAGACAGCGUAAUAUAAGCAAUAGACAGAUAACACUGAAAGUUUUUGAGUCAAGGAGCUUUACAAUAAAAGCUACACUUUAGAGAGAAUAAUGCUGUAGUCACGUCCAGGAUGAACUGGAACAAAAUGAAAGAGAUUAGCAUUCAUGAAUGAACUACCACAAAAAUCCAAAUAAAUAAAGGUAAAGAAAGACACAGCCAACACCACAACCUAAGAGUAGUGGGAUGGAACUAAAUAUAAAUGAAGACACCAAAGAUAUUCCGUAAUUGUGCAUAGGAUUAUUAGCCUUCACAUCCUACUACAGAGGUGGUCUGGGGUUAAUGAGCCAAAUAUUAACUGAUCCUACAAAUGAACUCAGUCUGUAAUAAUAGGGGAUCCAGAAACAAGAUUCUAUGACAACGAUUGGCCAUGUUACCUUGUAAAUAUUGUCUCCAAGUCUCUAUGCUUUUUAAUAAAUGCAUGGGAUAUAGUAUUAAAUAUACAAUUAUUCCCACACUCAAUACACUCAG
This 1233-nucleotide long non-coding RNA is filed under the name Callithrix jacchus (white-tufted-ear marmoset). RNAcentral describes it as "lncRNA (ENSCJAG00000079170.1)". The record is from RNAcentral. Lineage: Eukaryota; Metazoa; Chordata; Mammalia; Primates; Cebidae.